Non-coding RNA from Rattus norvegicus (Norway rat), 2911 nucleotides. Lineage: Eukaryota; Metazoa; Chordata; Mammalia; Rodentia; Muridae. The record is from RefSeq and is a predicted model, not a curated record.
UCUCUUUUCAUAUUUCCUAUUUAUUUACGGAAACUGAGGUGGGAACAGGCGAUUUCCCAGCUGCUUGGCAGUUUAAAUGUGAAUGUUUGCUUUAGGAAAUGGAAGAAAGGAGAAAGUAGAUGAGCUGGAAAAACUGUAAUUCCCUCCAAGUUUGAAGUGACCUGAUCUCCACUUCCAAAACACAAAUGAAUUCUUAAAAUUCUUAAAAUUUUAUACCUAUUUUAAAAUAUUCCUAUCAGCAUUGUCCCCUGAAAACAUGCUGUGCUUGCCUUGUUUCUUCUUCAGGACUAACUCUACCCAUUAAACUCAUCUGUCAGUCAUAACGAAUAAUAUGCCACACACCCCCCCCCAGAUUAAUUGUCAGUGGGGAAAAAUUCUUUAAAAUAGCUGGAGAGAAUCCACUGUGUAAUCGCAAACUCUGUAUAGAUGGGCAGCCAGAUCACAUUUUUUGGAGAUCCAGAUCUCAUUGUCCUAAAGCUGUGGUUAGUUACAGUAGUUCCCACAAUUCCAUUGUCCCAGGCUACAGAAGUCCAUCCACAGUCAUCUAGAUCUCCGGAGGGCCUCUGCUUACCAAAGUAGUCAUCCUUUAGAAGAAUAUUCUCUUUCUACUUCCUAGGUUCGUUUUUGACCUUUGCCUUCUUGAGAUUGAAUUACUUGCUCUUAUUCAUUAGUUACUGUAAAUCCUUAAUGACCAAAUUUUAGCCACAUCGCAGAUGGACCAAAGGCCCAGCACAGUUUAGUCCUUUACUCAUAGACAGUGGAAUUCACCUCAUUUUAAUAGCCGAGUCUUCUGGAUGAAGAACAAAGGCUGACAAUACAUUUCAAGACAAUCUUCCACAGGCCCGUUUUAUUUCCACUCUUGCAUUCACCAGAGACCACAGUUCAUUUGAAUAAUUUGGGUCUUUUACUAUUAGCGCUAUGAACACUCUGUAUGAGAUAAUCCUUUAUUUGGGGACCAUUCUGUGCACGGCAGGGUGUGUGUCAGCACUCCUGCCCUCUGCCUCUGGCUUCCAAUAUGCUCUUCAAAUUAUGACAAGUGUCUUUUAGAUGUGGACACUAGAUCUGUCUUAUGUGGUCCCACACAAUUCUCAAGUCAGGGGGUAUUACAAACAUGGCCCACCAUGUGGUAACAUCAUCUGCAAAAUCACAAGAUUUUUCAAAAAACAUUUUCUGUGCAGAGCACAUUCAGUGUUUUCAAUGUUUUCUAACUAAAAGUCUGAGCUCAAACCACUACUCGUUUAUGAUGAAAACAAUUCUUUGGCUUUAUCUUCCUGAAUGAAUGUGAAUAUCUAUCAAUUUAAGACUUAAUCAAUUUAAGUAAAACUACUGUUAAGGGCUGGGGAGAUGGCUUAGUAGUUAAGAUAGCAACUGCCCUUGCAGAGGACUUGGGUCCAGUGCAAGCACCCACAACAGGCAACUUGCAAAUACCUGUAACCACAGCUGCAUGAGAUCUGAUGCCUCUGACUUCUGAGGGGACCCAUAUUAGUUUGCACAGACCUACACACAGACAUAUACAUAUGCAUAACUGAAAAUAAUGAAAGAAUAUGAAUUUAAUUUUAUAUUUUAAAGCUAGAUGAGCAGAGUUCUUCCUGUCACUAAAAGUCUGGAGCCUGGGUGGUCUGCGGACUGCCGAUCAAGGUCACGUCAAUGAGAAAAAGAGGAAAAUCUAUGCCAUGGCCACUGACAGUAUAAUCCUGCUGGGGACAUUUAAAGUAGUAUUUGUUUCACAAUCAUUUCCCACCCAUCUCUCUCACCCCACACCCAAUAUUCAAACAUAUGCUCAGAGCUUUCAGGAAGGAAGGAAGACUACCCAGGAGGCACGAAAUGAGCAUGAUUCAAAUGUUUUGUCAGCUGGAGUCCUAGCCAGUAACCAAUUUUCACAAACUCUUGUGCGUUAUUCAAAUUAUCAUAAUAUUAUUCAAAUAAUCAUAACACAGCAUUGGGUCUUUGACCUAUUAAUUAUCCUUUCAUCCGUUCCAUCCCCGCUGCCGAGUUAAUUAGUCAGAUGGCGGGGUCUCCGCUUUAUGUACAUUAUCUCAACGACAGAAAGCCACAAAGUUGUUUCAAGAACCACAGCAUUAGAGACAUCCUUUUCCGUCCUGAUAAUCAUGCAUGCAAAUUAUUUUUUAAUCUUUUUCUUCUAGAUAAUGGCCUUGCUAUUCAGAGAAGAGCCAGAGUCCUUCAUCUCUUUGCCACUGUGUGUGUUGAGGAAGAAAUAAGUAGUGACUAGAUGCCCGACACCCCAGAUUGCAUCCUGGCUCAGUUUUCCUCUUCUUGAAACAGGAGAUCACUUCUUAGACAAGUAGAAUUCUCUUUAUCCUGUCCCUUCUGCCCCAAAGCCAUGAUUGAGUGUGUUUGAUUGACACUGUUGGUGCGAUGCAACCCUGUCGUCUGCUACACCAACACUAUGGGCUCAUCAUUCAGAAACCCAAUCUCCAGCAGCUCACGAAGUGACUUCCUGAAAAUUCCUUUCUCACGCAGAGCUCACCCUGUGACAUCAGCCUCAGUCCUUAAGGAUGCCUACACAAAUCACUGAACACAUGGAUGAGAGCAAAGCCAUUGGUAGACAUCAUGUAUUUAUCCACCAGUCACAUUUAUUGUGUACCUAUGAUGUGCAACUACUGAUUUAGAUGAAUGAGGCAAAGAACGAAACCGAUCCGUGUCCUGAGGCUCCUCCUUUGUCAGCUUCACAGAGGAGCCCAAGGAGCCAACUUCAAGAGAUCUUGUAUCUUGGUGAUAAAUGGUGACAUACAACCCCUAAUCAGAGACAAGCUAAGUGAUGGAUGAAAUCCCCAAGCUCAUCAAGUUCGUCCACUUGGAAUUCACACCAAAAUGUUCACAGGCAAAUCCCAGGCUCAUGCUGAAAUUGCUAAAUUGGGCAGAGAAUCUCAUGAGAGUUCAGAACAUGAAA